Molecule: long non-coding RNA, 2291 nt
Organism: Gambusia affinis (western mosquitofish)
Lineage: Eukaryota; Metazoa; Chordata; Actinopteri; Cyprinodontiformes; Poeciliidae
Exons: 5
Source: RefSeq, a predicted model, not a curated record
UUAUUUUAAUACUUCUUGUUAUUUUUGCCCUGGUUAAAAGUAAAAUAAUCACUUUGCUGCUGGGCCAAAUUUGUCCCAUUCUCGUGUUGCAGUCGGGACACAAACGGCCCCUGGGCCGCACUUUGGACAUCCCUGCAUUGCAUUAGCAAAUGAGAUUAUUCAGCAGGACUGCGAGUGGACAGAGUGAGGAGAAGAGAGAGGCAGAAAGAGGAGAAAGAGGAGGAGGACGAAGAGGAGUGGGGGGUGUCCGGUCAUGCUGAAGCAUCUGAGGGAGAGAAGAGGGGAAAGCGGCGCUCUGCACGGCGCCCAGGCUUCAUUACCAUGUGAAUCUGAGAGGAGCGAUGUGGAGAGGGAGCGGCGGGCCGGCCAGGGCCCAGCAGUGGGCCGGAUCCAUAUGGUGCUGCCGGCGCUGGAAUGAAUAGUGAAUGGAGCGGCUGGGCUGCUGGAAUCUGCCUCCAAGCCUUUGUGAACAGGAUGACCAAAGACAAGAGGGAGCUCUGCAGAUGGCCCGCGCUAUAAAUAGGUAGCUAGUCUAUCUCUGAGCUGUCACUCCACUGGACGGCACUGAACCCAGAAAAUAACGGCCCAUCAGCACCAGAACCGGGGACUAGAACCGACCGACCCGUCUUCAGGGAUUCAUACUGGAGCUGGAAAUCGUCUCAUGAUUUGAUUCAAAAUCAGACCUGGAAAUGCUCUUCCAGUGAUAGAAGGCCGACUCUGUAACCGACUUUAUGUGGCUCUGAAUGUUCAGGUCAGGUUGCAGCCUCAUCUCUAGGUUCUGUAAUAACUGACUCUAGAUCCUCGUUAGGUGCAAAGAUAAUAACUUCAGUAUUAAUAACUCACAAUUUGAUCCAAAAUCAAUCAAUAAAGCUUAUUUUUGUAGAGAACUUUUCAGCAAUAAGGGAGUUCAAUGUGCUCUACGUUAUAAAAACUAAAAAAAACAUAAAAAAAGACAACACACAGUAAACAUUACAUUUUGCCAAGAGUCAUCGUUGCACAUCAAAAUGUUGGUCAAUGUUUCAUUUAUUGUUGUUCAAAACCAACUCUAAACAGGUGGGCUUUUAAUUAUUCAUAAUGAUUUCUGCUUUAAUCUGUUGGUGCACUGCAAACGUCUAGUUUCCAAAUACCCUGGUACACUUGAAAUAAGACAAAACGAAUUUACCUUCUGUACCUUUUCAGAAAGGUACAGAAUUUUUUUAAGUAAAAAAUUCCGUAAAGAUGCAGUAAGUAACGUUUAUAAAACAUACAUAUUGUACAUAUUUGUGACAGCUUGUUACCAAUCUGUGAAAAAAAAAUCGAUUUUCUCUUCCUUCUCCCAGAAACAACCAAUCAGAGCCAGGGGCGGGGCUCAGCUCUCUGUGACGCCGCAGCUAGCAAAGCUCACAGACAGCAGUUCGGGAAAUCCAGUCAUGAAUGUUAGGCUAGCUAGAGUAGCCACCGAUGACGUCGGCUAAGCGGCUUUCCAGUAACGGCAAAUUGUUUCUCCGCCAUUAGCAUAUGACCUUCAACGAAGAUGCAGCCUGUUCACAGCAGAAACGUCAAUGCCCACACCUGCUUGGGUGGCAAGUGUGAGGCAUCGCUGGCGAUCGGCUCCGUGGAGCCAGACAGAGAGACCGAUGAAGUGGGAGGACGGACAGAAACCCGGCAGGAUGCGAAAAACUGUUCUCCCUACAGACCGUCAGACACAUCUAACACAAAGACAACCAAGGAAGCUACCUGAGAGCUGAUCAGUGAAGCUAGCUAGCCUGCAGCUAACGAGGACAGAAACAUUCCCAGACUCCCACCAGGUUCUGCUCUCUGACCAGAGACGACUUGGCGACUCGAGGCUCCGGUGAGAGAGGAACGAGUCCGGUGGAUGUCUGAGACGAGUUUCUGAGUUUGACCCGUUAAAGUGCAUCAUGAAAAGCUUCACCUUCCCUCUCCUGCCUCGUCCUGCUCAGCUCCGUACAUCUGCGUCUGUUUACCAGCCUGCCUGUUUCUGCUCCGGUCUCAGCUGAUGAGAGCAGCUCCCAGCUGCUCGGGUUGUGCUGCUCCUGCAGGAGCGCGAGCAGCGUUGGUGCUGCGCUGCCGAAUCAAAGACCGCACUGCUGCAAGAACACGACGACGAGAGUCAGAGGAAAACGAUUUAAUGACCAUCCAGACUGAAACACUAUUUGGGAAAACAAAGUUUUUCCAUCGGUUUUGCAGACGCUCAUUUGUUUUUAUGAGAGAUUUGUAAUUAAGAGGAAAAUAUUUCCUCUUAAAAUAUUUCUCAAUCUGUUGUUUUACUGAUACUAAAAAAAGUUCAAUUA